Molecule: ribosomal RNA, 504 nt
Filed under: uncultured bacterium
Lineage: Bacteria
Description: partial 16S ribosomal RNA
Rfam family: Bacterial small subunit ribosomal RNA
Source: RNAcentral
AUUGAACGCUGGCGGCAGGCCUAACACAUGCAAGUCGAACGGUAGCACAGAGAGCUUGCUCUCGGGUGACGAGUGGCGGACGGGUGAGUAAUGUCUGGGAAACUGCCCGAUGGAGGGGGAUAACUACUGGAAACGGUAGCUAAUACCGCAUAACGUCGCAAGACCAAAGUGGGGGACCUUCGGGCCUCACACCAUCGGAUGUGCCCAGAUGGGAUUAGCUAGUAGGUGGGGUAAUGGCUCACCUAGGCGACGAUCCCUAGCUGGUCUGAGAGGAUGACCAGCCACACUGGACCUGAGACACGGUCCAGACUCCUCGGGGAGGAAGCAGUGGGGAAUAUUGCACAAUGGGCGCAAGCCUGAUGCAGCCAUGCCGCGUGUAUGAAGAAGGCCUUCGGGUUGUAAAGUACUUUCAGCGGGGAGGAAGGCGGUGAAGUUAAUAGCUUCACCGAUUGACGUUACCCGCAGAAGAAGCACCGGCUAACUCCGUGCCAGCAGCCGCAGUAA